AGUUAUAAACUUUAAGAAAUUAAAUUAUAAACUUUGUUGUUUUUAUUUAGGGUUCUUUAGGAAUUUGUAUUAAUUGUAUUGCCAAUAAUACUGUGUUGGUUAUCCCUUUGAUUGCACAUGGUAUUUAAAUGAGGAGUGAGAGGUUUACGAUAAGCAAGAGUGGGUUUCUUAGGAAUAUAUUAGGUAAUUUCUUUGGAAGAUUUACUAGUUCUAUAUCCUAUUGUAACAAAUAAAUUAUUAUAAUUAAUAAUUCAGGAAUUGUCUUAUAAUUGAAUGAAGUUGUGUACUCUCAUAUAUAUGGGGGUUAUACAGCUACGGAAAGUUAUUUGACUAUAAAAAAAUUGCUGCUAAAUUUGUUGUGAGAUGGAAUCUUUAGAUGCUUUUAAUAUGUUUGUAUAAUUUCUUUAAGUGUCUUUUAGUUUUUCGAUAAUGGGCGCGGUAGAAGAACUCAACACCAGUGCGGAGUAUUGACAAAAUAUGGAAAUAUAGAGUAAGCAAUAGGGAAUGAGGGCGGAAUAAUAAAGUGCCAGCAUUCGCGGUCAGUCUUUUUGACUCCAGCCAAUAAGUAUCGUAUAAUAGUAAGGAAUGAGGAGAAAACAGUUAUCUAUUAAUAGAUACGGUAAAAUGUGGCUAUGAUGAAAAAUAUUAUAGAAUCAUAAUAGUAAAAAUGAGAUAGUUUUUAAAGUAUAACCUAAUAAGGCUGCAUAACUGAGACAGGGAUCUGUACCCCAGUAUUAAAGCUUUCUAGUGGUGUACGGGUACUACGAGCAAACGUGCUUAAAAACCAAAGAGGUUGGCGGUGUUUCAAAUCCGGUUAGGGGAACUUGGCGAUUAAUUUGAUGAUCCUCGAACAUUUUACCUUUAGUAUUCUUUGCAUACCGCCGUUGAGACAGGCUUUUGGGGGUUGAAGAACUUAACACAAUAUAUAUGAAAAAAAAUAAAAUAAAAAGUAUUAAUACUAAAGAAUUUAAUUAUUUUUUAUUUAUAGAUGGUUCUUAUAUAGCAAUUCAGGUAAACGUGUAGGUUCUAAAGGGUUUAGCUGAGUUACAUUAUUUAUAAAUUUUCGGAUACUUCUAUUUAUAGGUGGUUGAAGGUGUACUUGUUAGUAAGAUUUUUAAUAGAAGAAAUCUGAAUAGAGUUAUGAAAUGCGUACAAAUCGCCCGGCGCCCUCGAAUAGAUAAAUUGAGGUAAGUCGUAACAUAGUAAUGCUAGUAGAAACUGGUGUUAAGUAUAAUA
This 1236-nucleotide ribosomal RNA is filed under the name Paphia euglypta. RNAcentral describes it as "small subunit ribosomal RNA". Lineage: Eukaryota; Metazoa; Mollusca; Bivalvia; Venerida; Veneridae. The record is from RNAcentral.